Molecule: non-coding RNA, 383 nt
Organism: Cyanistes caeruleus (blue tit)
Lineage: Eukaryota; Metazoa; Chordata; Aves; Passeriformes; Paridae
Source: RefSeq, a predicted model, not a curated record
CAGGGCAACAUUUCUCCAUUAGUUUGGCUGCAUAAAGUUUUGAAGCCCUCUACGCCUCCUGCAGGUGUGUCUGCAGAGAGGACUUUCUCAGCUCCUUUGCUGAUUGGUGUGCAGAAGCCCCACUUCCAUCGCAGGGGUCCUCCGAGUGACAAGGACAAACGUACAGGAGAGAAGGAAUCACUGGAGUCAAACAACAUCCAGAAACAAAUUGUGGAGGAACUGCAGAAAGGGCCUGACAUGGACAUACAGGUUCUGUGGAAGGCAGCAUUUCCUGCAGGCAGCGGUCACUCGUCGGCAGCCUCUGCUGCAGGAAGGAAUGGGAUGGCACACAUGAGUACGGGCCCAGACACAGGAGGUAAUUGCUGUGCUGGGCUCAGCCCUCG